Molecule: long non-coding RNA, 1207 nt
Filed under: Malus domestica (apple)
Lineage: Eukaryota; Viridiplantae; Streptophyta; Magnoliopsida; Rosales; Rosaceae
Description: long non-coding RNA (MDOM_LNC016537)
Source: RNAcentral
UACUUAACCAUAGUAACCACUCACUAGCUCACAUUUAAUCAAUUAAAACAACAUUUGAAAGUAGUAACAUGCCUUAGAGAUUUCACUCAAUUCCUCACCGGAUAUACUCUCUAUUUUCACACAGAUUUUCUUACUACACUCCCUAUACUAAGUAUAUGUGAGAAGAUUGAUGUAAACAUGUAGAUUAGCACUCACAUAUGUUAUAACCAAGAAGGCACUUUCUGGAAUUAUUAAUACAAACAUGUAUAUGAUCUCAUGAACGGAAUGCCACUACUUAGAAGCGAGAACCAGGGAUUCCAUAUGCUCAUACCAAUUUCAAACUCCACAUGUUGAAUAACAUAACAAUCAAGAUAAAAGUCUAAGGUUGUAAUGGGGAUAAGGUAUUGGCUAACAAAGAAAGGUCAAGGAUGAACAAAGGUUCUUAAAGUGAUAGUAAGCAAAAUAAUGAAAUCAACACUUAGAAUUCAACUUUUGAUUGCAGCAUCUAACUUUAAACACAAAGGGGAGAUUUUUUUUCCUUUUCGCAAUUUUUUUUCUUCUUUCUUUUCUGUUUCUUUUUCAACAUUUUUCUCUUUUUUUUUUUUUUUUUUUUUUUUUUUUUUUGGAAACAUAAAACAUAAGCACUAAACUUCACCGGAUUCAAAAGAACAAAUCCUUCCCGCACACUUAUUUGUUUGUAUUCUUUAAGAACAAGGGUGUGGAUAUUCCUAUGCUAGGCUAGGUAAGGAUAAUGCAGGCUAACAAAGAAAAUAGGCCAAAUAAGGCUCGAAGGGGUUAAACCUACAAUACAUAUGCAAGGGAUAAGGCUUUUUGGCUCUGGUGGUAACUAAACAACUUUUUUCUUUUCUUUGUUAUGUAAUCAAUUUUAAGCUUUGAAUGAAACAGGCAUGAGUUCUAGUAUUUGGAACUAAAAUGAUGAAAAAGCAUUCCAAGUAGCAACCAAGCAACGAAAUAAUGAGAUCAUGCAACGACUUUAGAAAGCAAGAAUAUCACAGAUUAAUAACUCUCCAAACAAAGAAUAGGCUCAAGUCUCACAGGGUUGUAGCGUUAGUUUGAGUUUCUUCCUUCAAGCAUGUUACAAAAACUGAUUUUUUUUUCUUUGUGAUUGCAUGUGAAUUCGUAAAUGACAACUACAACUAAGUUUUAACCAAAGAGCAUAUCAAACUUCCACCCAUGUUUGUAACCUUCUUUAAUAGUCAUGCAAUUA